RNAcentral lists this non-coding RNA (41 nucleotides) under Trypanosoma brucei brucei. Lineage: Eukaryota; Euglenozoa; Kinetoplastea; Trypanosomatida; Trypanosomatidae. The record is from RNAcentral.
AAAUACAAAUUCGAGUAGGUAGUACAAUGAUAUGAGAUUAU